UUCCCCUAGUAACUGCGAGUGAAGAGGGAAGAGCUCAAAUUUAAAAUCUGGCAGUGUUUUGCUGUCCGAGUUGUAAUCUAGAGAAGUGCUGCCCGUGCUGGACCGUGUACAAGUCUCCUGGAAUGGAGCGUCACAGAGGGUGAGAAUCCCGUCUUUGACAUGGACUGCCAGUGCAUUUGUGGUGUGCUCUCAAAGAGUCGAGUUGUUUGGGAAUGCAGCUCUAAAUGGGUGGUAAACUCCAUCUAAAGCUAAAUAUUGGCGAGAGACCGAUAGCGAACAAGUACCGUGAGGGAAAGAUGAAAAGAACUUUGGAAAGAGAGUUAAACAGUAUGUGAAAUUGUUGAAAGGGAAACGCUUAAAGUCAGUCRUGUCGGCCAGGGAUCAACUCAGUUUUUUUUUGCUGGGUGUACUUCCUGAUCUGAUGGGCCAACAUCAGUUUUGACUGCUGGAGAAGGAUAGAGGGAAUGUGGCACCUUCGGGUGUGUUAUAGCUCUCUGUCGGAUGCAGUGGUUGGGACUGAGGAAAGCAGCAUGCYGCAAGGCCGGGUUUCGACCACGUUCAUGCUGAGGAUGUUGGCAUAAUGGCUUUAAUCGACCCGUCUUGAAACACGGACCAAGGAGUCUAACAUGCCUGCGAGUGUUUGGGUGGCAAACCCGAGUGCGGAAUGAAAGUGAAAAGUUGAGAUCCCUGUCAUGGGGAGCAUCGACGCCCGGACCUGAGCUUUUAGCAAAGGAUCUGCGGUAGAGCAUGUAUGUUAGGACCCGAAAGAUGGUGAACUAUGCCUGAAUAGGGUGAAGCCAGAGGAAACUCUGGUGGAGGCUCGUAGCGAUUCUGACGUGCAAAUCGAUCGUCGAAUUUGGGUAUA
RNAcentral lists this ribosomal RNA (865 nucleotides) under Amanita sp. 'N60'. RNAcentral describes it as "eukaryotic LSU rRNA". It matches the Rfam family "Eukaryotic large subunit ribosomal RNA", at positions 75 to 919 of the family's 3401-position model. The record is from RNAcentral. Lineage: Eukaryota; Fungi; Basidiomycota; Agaricomycetes; Agaricales; Amanitaceae.